This 396-nucleotide ribosomal RNA is filed under the name uncultured bacterium. RNAcentral describes it as "partial 16S ribosomal RNA". It matches the Rfam family "Bacterial small subunit ribosomal RNA", at positions 523 to 918 of the family's 1533-position model. The record is from RNAcentral.
AUACGUAGGUGGCAAGCGUUGUCCGGAAUUAUUGGGCGUAAAGCGCAUGUAGGCGGUAAUUUAAGUCUGUCGUGAAACUGCGGGGCUCAGCCCCGUAUGGCGAUGGAAAAUGGGUUACUUGAGUGCAGGAGAGGAAAGGGGGACUCCUAGUGUAGCGGUGAAAUGCGUAGAUAUUGGGAAGAACACCGGUGGCGAAGGCGCCUUUCUGGACUGUGUCUGACGCUGAGAUGCGAAAGCCAGGGUAGCGAACGGGAUUAGAUACCCCGGUAGUCCUGGCCGUAAACGAUGGGUACUAGGUGUGGGAGGUAUCGACCCCUUCCGUGCCGGAGUUAACGCAAUAAGUACCCCGCCUGGGGAGUACGGCCGCAAGGCUUAAACUCAAAGGAAUUGACGGGG